Molecule: ribosomal RNA, 688 nt
Filed under: Curtobacterium flaccumfaciens
Lineage: Bacteria; Bacillati; Actinomycetota; Actinomycetes; Micrococcales; Microbacteriaceae
Description: bacterial SSU rRNA
Rfam family: Bacterial small subunit ribosomal RNA
Source: RNAcentral
UCUUUUAGUAGGGAAGAAGCGAAAGUGACGGUACCUGCAGAAAAAGCACCGGCUAACUACGUGCCAGCAGCCGCGGUAAUACGUAGGGUGCAAGCGUUGUCCGGAAUUAUUGGGCGUAAAGAGCUCGUAGGCGGUUUGUCGCGUCUGCUGUGAAAUCCCGAGGCUCAACCUCGGGCUUGCAGUGGGUACGGGCAGACUAGAGUGCGGUAGGGGAGAUUGGAAUUCCUGGUGUAGCGGUGGAAUGCGCAGAUAUCAGGAGGAACACCGAUGGCGAAGGCAGAUCUCUGGGCCGUAACUGACGCUGAGGAGCGAAAGCAUGGGGAGCGAACAGGAUUAGAUACCCUGGUAGUCCAUGCCGUAAACGUUGGGCGCUAGAUGUAGGGACCUUUCCACGGUUUCUGUGUCGUAGCUAACGCAUUAAGCGCCCCGCCUGGGGAGUACGGCCGCAAGGCUAAAACUCAAAGGAAUUGACGGGGGCCCGCACAAGCGGCGGAGCAUGCGGAUUAAUUCGAUGCAACGCGAAGAACCUUACCAAGGCUUGACAUACACCGGAAACGGCCAGAGAUGGUCGCCCCCUUGUGGUCGGUGUACAGGUGGUGCAUGGUUGUCGUCAGCUCGUGUCGUGAGAUGUUGGGUUAAGUCCCGCAACGAGCGCAACCCUCGUUCUAUGUUGCCAGCGGGUUAUGCC